This 381-nucleotide ribosomal RNA is filed under the name Triticum aestivum (bread wheat). RNAcentral describes it as "partial small subunit ribosomal RNA". The record is from RNAcentral. Lineage: Eukaryota; Viridiplantae; Streptophyta; Magnoliopsida; Poales; Poaceae.
AUGCAACGUUCCCCAACACUUGAUUCCACUCAAUGUGUAUUAUGUGAUGUUGAAGAUAAUGAAGACAAAAUGCAUCUACUAUUCUCUUGUCCUUUCAGCCAGGGUUUUUGGUGGAACAUUGGUCUUGAAUGGAACACAUACCUAAAUAUUCAUGAUAUGAUUAUUGAAGCUCAUCAAAGAUAUCGACAACACCAUUUCAUGGAAAUUAUGAUUAUUGGAUGCUGGAGUAUAUGGAAUCAAAGAAAUGAUCUGAUAUUUGAAGGAAUCCCAUGCUCUAUCAAUGAUAGCAGAUAUGAAUUUAUCAAAACUUUCAAAUUGACUAUGCUAAGAGCCAAACCUAGUCUAAAGGAGGGCAUGUCAUCUUGGAUUGAUAACAUCUAA